UACGUAGGUGGCAAGCGUUGUCCGGAUUUACUGGGCGUAAAGGAUGCGUAGGCGGACAUUUAAGUCAGAUGUGAAAUACCCGAGCUUAACUUGGGUGCUGCAUUUGAAACUGGGUGUCUAGAGUGCAGGAGAGGUAAGUGGAAUUCCUAGUGUAGCGGUGAAAUGCGUAGAGAUCGGCAGGAACACCCAGGGGGAAACCAGCCGACUGGGCAAGUGCUGACGCUGAGGUGCGAGAGCGUGGGGAGCGAACCGG
Molecule: ribosomal RNA, 253 nt
Filed under: uncultured bacterium
Lineage: Bacteria
Description: partial 16S ribosomal RNA
Rfam family: Bacterial small subunit ribosomal RNA
Source: RNAcentral